GACGAACGCUGGCGGCGUGCUUAACACAUGCAAGUCGAGCGGAAAGGCCCUUCGUGGUACUCGAGCGGCGAACGGGUGAGUAACACGUGAGUAACCUGCCCCAGACUUUGGGAUAACCCUCGGAAACGGGGGCUAAUACCGGAUACGACACAGCUUCGCAUGGGGUCUGUGUGGAAAGUUUUUCUGUUUGGGAUGGGCUCGCGGCCUAUCAGCUUGUUGGUGGGGUGAUGGCCUACCAAGGCGACGACGGGUAGCCGGCCUGAGAGGGCGACCGGCCACACUGGGACUGAGACACGGCCCAGACUCCUACGGGAGGCAGCAGUGGGGAAUAUUGCACAAUGGGCGGAAGCCUGAUGCAGCGACGCCGCGUGAGGGAUGACGGCCUUCGGGUUGUAAACCUCUUUCAGCAGGGACGAAGCGUAAGUGACGGUACCUGCAGAAGAAGCGCCGGCCAACUACGUG
This 462-nucleotide ribosomal RNA is filed under the name uncultured bacterium. Its description in RNAcentral is "partial 16S ribosomal RNA". It matches the Rfam family "Bacterial small subunit ribosomal RNA", at positions 28 to 507 of the family's 1533-position model. The record is from RNAcentral.